RNAcentral lists this ribosomal RNA (102 nucleotides) under Cyclemys dentata (Asian leaf turtle). RNAcentral describes it as "partial 16S ribosomal RNA". The record is from RNAcentral. Lineage: Eukaryota; Metazoa; Chordata; Testudines; Geoemydidae.
GCAACAACCUAGCUCAAUUAAAAACAAUAAACAAAACAAACAAAAUAAUCCCACCAUAAACCAAUUAAAACAUUUACACCAUCUUAGUAUAGGUGAUAGAAA